AGCUGUCUAGCACGUGCAGACAAUGCACUAUCAUAAAUACAAGCCAAACAUCCGAACGCUGAAAGAAAGUUUUGCGCUUUUGGAUUAUAACGACAAAACUGGAUCACUCUUCAAUGGACUUUCACGUGUUUUAGAUAAAACUCUUCGUGGAUAACUUCCUGACAUAGGUUCUUGUGUGGGAGCUGAGGCCUUUCCCAGUCACAACAGAAACCAGAGGCUGAGGUUGAUUUCAUGACUUCCUCCUCAUUGUUUGCCUGUCUGUGUGACUGGAAACCGGUAGUGACAGACAGAUGACUCUGGUUGCUCUUAAACUGAACUUGUGGAGAAACUGGACCUAGCUCCCCUUUAGAAGUAGUCACUAAUCAAGGCCGACGGCAGAGUGCCAUGCUUUUCCCUCACUUCUGAGGCGACAUAACCUGUCAUGCUGACCUUGUUGCUCAACUCUGUUUUCAGCUUGAUGUCCAAAUUAUCCCGGCGCAUUGCUGCCAAGUUGCUGCAGGGGUUUACACACAAUCCUGCACCCAGUGGUCAUUUUGGAGUUCAGCGGCAAAGAGCAUCAAGGAAGCAUUACCACAUCACUCACAGUUCAGCUCUCCGGCAUUGCCCUGACCUCCUGAACCCUGA
Sinocyclocheilus anshuiensis is the source of this 624-nucleotide long non-coding RNA. RefSeq lists it as uncharacterized. Lineage: Eukaryota; Metazoa; Chordata; Actinopteri; Cypriniformes; Cyprinidae. The transcript is spliced from 3 exons. The record is from RefSeq and is a predicted model, not a curated record.